UACGAAGGGGGCGAGCGUUGUUCGGAUUUACUGGGCGUAAAGGGCGCGUAGGCGGCGCGAGAAGUCGAGUGUGAAAGCCCCGGGCUCAACCUGGGAAUUGCGCUCGAUACUCUUGUGCUUGAGUUCGGGAGAGGAGCGUGGAAUUCCCAGUGUAGAGGUGAAAUUCGUAGAUAUUCGGAGGAACACCAGUGGCGAAGGCGGCUCACUGGUCCGGUACUGACGCUGAGGUGCGAAAGCGUGGGGAGCAAACAGG
This 253-nucleotide ribosomal RNA is filed under the name uncultured bacterium. RNAcentral describes it as "partial 16S ribosomal RNA". It matches the Rfam family "Bacterial small subunit ribosomal RNA", at positions 524 to 776 of the family's 1533-position model. The record is from RNAcentral.